Molecule: transfer RNA, 66 nt
Filed under: Munidopsis verrilli
Lineage: Eukaryota; Metazoa; Arthropoda; Malacostraca; Decapoda; Munidopsidae
Description: tRNA-Leu
Source: RNAcentral
AUUACUUUGGCAGAACUAAUGCGUUAGGUUUAGGGUCUAAAAAUAUAGGGUUUUCUAUAGGUAAUA